UUGAACGCUGGCGGCAUGCCUUACACAUGCAAGUCGAACGGUAGAGGGGCAACCCUUGAGAGUGGCGAACGGGUGAGUAAUAUAUCGGAACGUGCCCAGUCGUGGGGGAUAACGCAGCGAAAGCUGCGCUAAUACCGCAUACGAUCUAAGGAUGAAAGCGGGGGAUCGCAAGACCUCGCGCGGUUGGAGCGGCCGAUAUCAGAUUAGGUAGUUGGUGGGGUAAAAGCCUACCAAGCCGACGAUCUGUAGCUG
This 252-nucleotide ribosomal RNA is filed under the name uncultured bacterium. Its description in RNAcentral is "partial 16S ribosomal RNA". It matches the Rfam family "Bacterial small subunit ribosomal RNA", at positions 30 to 289 of the family's 1533-position model. The record is from RNAcentral.